UCCUUUUGUUUUUAUUUAAGGUUUGACCUGCCCUAUGAAAUUUAAAUGGCCGCAGUAUUCUGACUGUGCGAAGGUAGCAUAAUAAUUUGUCUUUUAAUUGGAGGCUUGAAUGAAAGGUUGGACGAGGAACUAACUUUCUUUGUUUUAUUAUUAUGAAUUUUAUUUUCUUGUGAAAAAGCAGGAAUUUUUUUAAGGGACGAUAAGACCCUAUAAAACUUUACUUUUUGGUUUGGGAUGAUUUAUUUAGGUUUUUAUUUUUGUUUUUUUCUAAAAAGUUUUGUUGGGGAGACAGGUAAAUUUAUUGAACUUUAUCUUUUUUUUUCAUUAAUGUAUGAAUAUUUGAUCCAGAUUUUCUGAAUGUAAGAUUAAGUUACUUUAGGGAUAACAGCGUAAUCUUGUUGGAGAGUUCUUAUCGAUGGCAGGGUUUGCGACCUCGAUGUUGGAUUAAAAUUAGUGUCAAAGUGUAGUAGCUUGAUAACUAGGUCUGUUCGACCUUUAAAUUUUUACGUGAUCUGAG
This 517-nucleotide ribosomal RNA is filed under the name Stricticimex namru. RNAcentral's name for it is "partial 16S ribosomal RNA". It matches the Rfam family "Bacterial large subunit ribosomal RNA", at positions 1830 to 2609 of the family's 2925-position model. The record is from RNAcentral. Lineage: Eukaryota; Metazoa; Arthropoda; Insecta; Hemiptera; Cimicidae.